Molecule: ribosomal RNA, 1114 nt
Filed under: Starmerella apicola
Lineage: Eukaryota; Fungi; Ascomycota; Dipodascomycetes; Dipodascales; Trichomonascaceae
Description: LSU rRNA
Rfam family: Eukaryotic large subunit ribosomal RNA (bases 274-1114)
Source: RNAcentral
ACCAAGAAAUUUAAAACUUUCAACAACGGAUCUCUUGGUUCUCGCAUCGAUGAAGAACGCAGCAAAGCGCGAUAGGUAAUGCGAAUUGCACACGUGAGUCAUUGAAUCUUUGAACGCACAUUGCGCCAUUAGGUUCUCCUAAUGGCAUGCUUGUUGGAGCGCCGAUCUUUCUCUCAUACUACUUCAUUGUAGUACGAGGUUCUGCUCCUUUUAGGAGUCAAAAGAAUGGAAGUGCACACGUUAGAUAACUCUGUGCAGUUACUUACAAUCUUUUGGCCUCCAAUCAAGCAAGGCUACCCGCUGAACUUAAGCAUAUCAAUAAGCGGAGGAAAAGAAACCAACAGGGAUUGCCUUAGUAGCGGCGAGUGAACAGGCAAGAGCUCAGAUUUGAAAGCCCUCGGGCAUUGUAUUCUGAAGCCUUGGUCUUGAGAAUCGGUGUUUAAGUCUUCUGGAAAGGAGCGCCAUGGAGGGUGAUAGCCCCGUACGACACCACUCUCAUUGUAGGACUUUGGCAUGGAGUCGAGUUGUUUGGGAAUGCAGCUCAAAUGGGUGGUAUGCUCCAUCUAAAGCUAAAUAUCUGCGAGAGACCGAUAGCGAACAAGUACUGUGAAGGAAAGAUGAAAAGAACUUUGAAAAGAGAGUGAAAAAGUACGUGAAAUUGUUGAAAUGGAAGGAUAGGCCGCUAACCAUGUAGGGUCGUGUUCGAGGGGAAGAUAAAAGCUGAAGAAUGUAGCUCCUCGGAGUGUUAUAGCUUCAGUCCAUAUUCCCUCUCGAGCGCGAGGAUUGAAGACUCUGCUAAAUGGUGGUCUAUCACCCGUCUUGAAACACGGACCAAGGAGUCCAUUGCUUGCGCGAGUAUUUGGGUGGCAAACCCAUAUGCGAAGUGAAAGCGAACGAUUCCAACCUUCGGGGGCAGAAUCGGCCGACUGUUCAUAGGAACAGAUUGAGUGGAGCGCAAGUGAUGGGACCCGAAAGAUGGUGAACUAUGCCUGAAUAGGGUGAAGCCAGAGGAAACUCUGGUGGAGGCUCGCAGCGGUUCUGACGUGCAAAUCGAUCGUCAAAUUUGGGUAUAGGGGCGAAAGACUAAUCGAACCAUCUAGUAGCUGGUUCCUGC